UACAGAGGCCUCGAGCGUUAGGCGGAAUCACUGGGCUUAAAGCGUGUGUAGGCGGACUUCUAAGUACCUUGUGAAAUCCCACGGCUCACCCGUGGAACUGCUCGGUAUACUGGUUGUCUUGAGCCUUCUAGGGGCGAGUGGAACAAAUGGUGGAGCGGUGAAAUGCGUAGAUAUCAUUUGGAACGCCAAUGGUGAAAACAACUCGCUGGGGAAGUGCUGACGCUGAGACACGAAAGCCAGGGGAGCGAACAGG
RNAcentral lists this ribosomal RNA (253 nucleotides) under uncultured bacterium. RNAcentral's name for it is "partial 16S ribosomal RNA". It matches the Rfam family "Bacterial small subunit ribosomal RNA", at positions 524 to 776 of the family's 1533-position model. The record is from RNAcentral.